This 429-nucleotide ribosomal RNA is filed under the name bacterium. Its description in RNAcentral is "partial 16S ribosomal RNA". It matches the Rfam family "Bacterial small subunit ribosomal RNA", at positions 355 to 776 of the family's 1533-position model. The record is from RNAcentral.
UAGGGAAUCUUCGGCAAUGGGGGCAACCCUGACCGAGCAACGCCGCGUGAGUGAAGAAGGUUUUCGGAUCGUAAAGCUCUGUUGUAAGAGAAGAACGUGUGUGAGAGUGGAAAGUUCACACAGUGACGGUAACUUACCAGAAAGGGACGGCUAACUACGUGCCAGCAGCCGCGGUAAUACGUAGGUCCCGAGCGUUGUCCGGAUUUAUUGGGCGUAAAGCGAGCGCAGGCGGUUGAAUAAGUCUGAAGUUAAAGGCAGUGGCUUAACCAUUGUUCGCUUUGGAAACUGUUAAACUUGAGUGCAGAAGGGGAGAGUGGAAUUCCAUGUGUAGCGGUGAAAUGCGUAGAUAUAUGGAGGAACACCGGUGGCGAAAGCGGCUCUCUGGUCUGUAACUGACGCUGAGGCUCGAAAGCGUGGGGAGCAAACAGG